This 228-nucleotide ribosomal RNA is filed under the name uncultured bacterium. RNAcentral describes it as "partial 16S ribosomal RNA". It matches the Rfam family "Bacterial small subunit ribosomal RNA", at positions 15 to 235 of the family's 1533-position model. The record is from RNAcentral.
GAUCCUGCUCAGGAUGAACGCUAGCUACAGGCUUAACACAUGCAAGUCGAGGGGCAGCAUGGUCUUAGCUUACUAAGGCCGAUGGCGACCGGCGCACGGGUGAGUAACACGUAUCCAACCUGCCGUCUACUCUUGGACAGCCUUCUGAAAGGAAGAUUAAUACAAGAUGGCAUCAUGAGUCCGCAUGUUCACAUGAUUAAAGGUAUUCCGGUAGACGAUGGGGAUGCG